This 77-nucleotide ribozyme is filed under the name Aedes aegypti (yellow fever mosquito). RNAcentral describes it as "drz-agam-1 ribozyme". It matches the Rfam family "drz-agam-1 ribozyme". Lineage: Eukaryota; Metazoa; Arthropoda; Insecta; Diptera; Culicidae. The record is from Rfam by way of RNAcentral.
UGCUCAGCAACUCCUAUCCCUACCUCCUCGGGUAACCAACCCGGGUGAGAAUUUCGAUCGUGUGCUGACAGGGAAGG